This 60-nucleotide transfer RNA is filed under the name Dipodomys ordii (Ord's kangaroo rat). It matches the Rfam family "tRNA", at positions 7 to 64 of the family's 71-position model. Rfam says of the family: Transfer RNA (tRNA) molecules are approximately 80 nucleotides in length. Their secondary structure includes four short double-helical elements and three loops (D, anti-codon, and T loops). Lineage: Eukaryota; Metazoa; Chordata; Mammalia; Rodentia; Heteromyidae. The record is from Rfam by way of RNAcentral.
GUGGCUCAGUUGUAGAGUGCUUGCCUUGCAUGCAAGAGGCCCUGGGUUCGAUUCCUCAGC